This 4087-nucleotide long non-coding RNA is filed under the name Solanum lycopersicum (tomato). RNAcentral describes it as "long non-coding RNA (SLYC_LNC000031)". The record is from RNAcentral. Lineage: Eukaryota; Viridiplantae; Streptophyta; Magnoliopsida; Solanales; Solanaceae.
AAAAAUCUGAUUACUAGAGCUUUAUCUCUUCUCUCUCUUAGAUUCAUACAACAACCAUUAAAUACCAUUAGGUUCUUGAAUAAUAGGUAUUUUCAAGCUAUUGAAAGGUGUAAUUUAAGACUAGUUAAGGAGGACAACUUUUACAUUGAAGAAUCCAAGUUUUAGCAAGCCGUAGUUAUGUCCAGCAAGGUAAGCUACUGCAAUUUUCUCCUUCUUGUGCUUGAGUUAAUUAGGACAGUCGAAAUGUUAGUGAGUUGGAAAUUGUUACUUUUAGGUGGUAAAUAUUGGGAGGAUGUUAUGGUGAUUAGUGCAUGUUGGGACUACCAUGGUGGGGAGUCCUCUUUAAAUUAAGCUAUGAGCUUGUUUUAGCACAUUAAAAGUAAUGUUAGCUCUUCAAGUGCUGGUGAUCAGAAACCAUGAUUCAUAUUGCUUCUAUUACACUAUUAUGUUCAAAGAUUAUUUUAUGUAUGUUAUGAUAAGGGAUGUGAUUGGAUGAACGGGGAAGUUAUGGAGACGUUAAAGAACUUAAAUAUUGCAGGGAGUUUUGGGGAGGACCUAAUACGAAGGUUGUACAGUAUAUAGAUGCGAUUAAUGGGAUAGGGAAGGAAAGAGAACACUCAGUAGAUAGAUUGCAGCUUACUGCUUCGUUAUUAUUUGGGUGUGAUCAAGUGGCUCAAAUUGAUUGAUUAGCUACUAAUACUAGUCUUACAACUUACUUUAUUGUAGAUCAGUGAUCUGAAGAGAAGGAGCUUAAGUCAAUACUUUUUGAAUUGUAUAGCAAGGUAUGUAAGGCUAUUUGAUUUCUUAUUUCUUUGGCAUGAAUCCAAAACUUGCAUUACAAAAAGUAAGCUUUCUAAGUGCCCUUGGUAGUGACUGAUCCAUAGUUGCAGUUCCUACUCUAAUAUGAGUUUGUUACUAAAUGUGCGUGUUUACUCUAUCAAGUGUUAGCAUGCAAGGUUUAAACUUGUUUCAUUGUCAAAUUACCCAUGGCAUGUAUCCCCGUUACAUAAGUCAAAGUGAUCGUAGACUACACAUGGUACAAUCUGCCUAUAUCAUGCCAACUUGCUUCCAUUGUUUAUAGAUAUGUCAUCUUGUCACAUGUUCAUAUGUUCCCUUCUUUGUUAUUACUCACAUUGUGUUAGACUAUAAUGUUACCUCACAGGAUCACUACUAGCUCAAUUGUACGUUUAUAUGUACUUACUUGGAAUAUGUCUCCGUCCUUAAGUUGAAUCUGCCCACAUUCCCCCUUGGUUCCACAUUCAUGAACACCUUGUAUUUGUAUCAUAUGAAGUUCAAAUCUCUUGGUUGAAUGUCAAAUUGUCUUCACUAGAUGUGCUUUGAUUUGAGAUAUCAAAAUGCUUACCGAGUCAUAUAGGCUCCUAAGUACUACGUUCAAGUCACAUUUGCUUCCCAUGUCAUUAUUAAUAUCGUAAGUUCAUAUUCAUAUGUCUUCUACUACUGGUCUGUAGAUCCAAAUCUAAACCAGGAUUAUGACCACCAAAACAACAAUCACAAACAAGUUAUGAACAUCAAAAUAACAAUAUCAAAAGAGUUACGAUUAUCUAAAGAACAAUCCCAAAAGAGUUAUGAACUGAUAAACAACAAUCUCAAAGAUGAAAGAAUCUAAGUGAAGUAAUCAAUAUGAUUAUGAGUGACAGCUCAGGGGCGAAAGCUUAGCAUGGGCCGAUCCCGAUUGGUAUAACAGGGUGGCAACCCAGGGGCAAAAACCUAGCAUGGGCCGAUCCCAAUUGGUAUGGAAGGGUGACAGCUCAGGGGGCGCAAGCCUAGCAUGGGUCAUCCUCUUCUACCGUGAUCAGCUGGUCAUUUGUAUCAUAUGUUGUAUAAAGAUUAUAAAAAGUACAGAAAUUUAAAGAAAAGAAUGUAACAUGCACGAUUCCACAAGUACAAAGCAAAGGUGGUCUCUAAUCCUUAUCUAUUGGUAUUUGGUUUCACUUGAGCUCAUGUUAAUUAUGCCUUACAUAUUCAGUACAUUCUUUCGAACUGACGUCCCUUAUUGGGGACGUUGCAUUUCAUGUUGCAGGUACAAGUACUCAACUAGUGGAUCUUUCCAAUAGAAGCACAUUAUACUCAGCGGAUGUUGGUGAGCUCCAGGUCGAUUCGGGGCUUUGCCGAGUCUUUACUAUGCGUAUUUUCAUAUGGUACCAUCAUGGAUUCCAGAAGAGGCUUUGUAGACAUUGUAAAGCUACCAUCUGUAUUCAUAGUUUCACUUAUCACAUAUAGCGGUUCAGCUAGUCAAAAUGUGUUGCAUAUGAAGCUUCUCAUCAGUAAUCUGCAUAGUAGUGUACUUUCUCAUCAUAGAUUACUUGUAAAGCAUGUGUUCAUAAGGUAUUAUUCCGCCUCACCUAGGGUUGAGGUGUGAAAAAAGUGUUGGAAAGAGUUUUCAAAAGCGGAAUGCACAAAAGUGCCAAAAUAUAUUUAAGUUUAAAGCACAAGGGCAAUUAAAGCACGAGCUUUAGCGAAGAAAAACGUUAUAAAGAAAAACAAAACUGUAAACGUGUUUGGCACCACUCACUGAUAUAACCAUUUGAUGCAACUUUCACACUUUCAAGAAAUCUAAUUUACAAAAUGCGAGGACGGGGUAUUUUUUAAAAACAAAAUGAGCAUAUAUUUUUUUCGAUGACAAGGGAAACUCGCAGCCGCUACUCUUUUGGGUGUGCACAGGGUAAAACCCCACUCCUAUGCAAUAGCUCGCAAACCACAUAGGAGAGGUAACCCGCACUAGGAAAGCCUGGUACGACGAGCUCGACUCAGAAGGCAAAUCCCUUGCUUACGCUGACAAGCGGUUUCGAACUUGAGACCUCCAACAUGGAAGUCCCAAGCUCAAACCACUGGGCCACCCUUACAAAAUGAGCAUAUUUUGAAUAAAAUCAAAGCUCAUUUAUUGAACUACAUCAGGAAAAAAUGUGCAUCAUGAUGUGACCAUUUAAGCUAAAGACAAGACAUUCUACACAACUUGCCACAUUCAACAAUGGACCCUCACUAGACAAGCGAGGGGAAGGGGGGAGAUCUCCAAAGUCCCCACAAAAUGGCCAUUAGGCUACAACAAUUGGGAGAUUAUGCCCAAAGAAUAUAAAAGAAUAGAAACUGGAAAUACUUGUGAAACAAAUCGAUCAACCACCACUACUUUUAAGUUUGCACUUAAGAUUAAUCAACACAAUAAACUCAUACAAGCUCUUGCUCUUUGGACCUAACAUGUGGUGUCAACAUGCUGCUCUGUCAAUCCUUUACGAAAUUCCACCAUAUGACUCAUAAAUUUAAUGCCACGAUAGUUCAUACAACUUCAAAUAUCUCCUCUGUUCUUAUAAAAUAUAAAUCAAGUUACUCUAUCACUUCCUGGUACAACAUUGAAAAUGCUUGGUUAGUAAUCCUACUCCAACUUUUCCGAGCAACUCACAAACCUCUAUAGAGACACAAUUGGACCAGAAUUUUCUAGUUCUCAUAUUUUUCAAUGCAUCUUUUACCUCUGUGGCCUAAUUUUAUGAGUGCGGCUAAAAGCUUAUAUUGUGUACAAAUAUAUAAAGAUCCAAAAUGUUAUAAUCGUUGCUCGAGUUGAAAAUUGAUCAAAAUAGCAUCUCUCCAUUUAUCUCAUUAUGUACACUUGUUUAAGUCCUUACGCUUCUUCUCUCUUAACCAUGAUAGUUUAAACAUGUCAUUCUCUCAUUCUUGUGUCCUUAACAUUUGGUAAAAUCCAUCUAAUGUUUUUCCCUAGAUUUAUACUAAUAACCUUCUUACAAUUAAUUUUUCUCUUGGCUCUCUUAUACUAUUCAACGUCUUCCUCUUUUUCGUCUGAUAACUUCCUAUAACACUUUCUUUAGCUCUAUUAACUCUUAGGGCUCGUUUGGUGUGAAGGAUAAUACCAAAUAGUCGUGGGAUUAAAUUACAAUACCAAUUAAUUUGUUGUUUGGUUGGCAAGUCCGGGAUGACUUAUCCCGGGAUUAAUAAUUACUACGGGAUAAGUUAUCCCUCCCCUUGGGUGGUAUAGUAAUACCGGGAUAACUUAUCCUGGGAUAAACUAAGUAAAUCACAAAAAUGUCUCUUUCAACCCUUUUGUUAUAUCACUUUUUAC